Molecule: ribosomal RNA, 410 nt
Filed under: uncultured bacterium
Lineage: Bacteria
Description: bacterial SSU rRNA
Rfam family: Bacterial small subunit ribosomal RNA
Source: RNAcentral
AAUGGGGGCAACCCUGAUCCAGCCAUGCCGCGUGAGUGAAGAAGGCCUUCGGGUUGUAAAGCUCUUUUGGUCGGGAAGAAAGUGUCCUGCUUAAUACGUGGGAUAUUUGACGGUACCGGCAGAAUAAGCACCGGCUAACUACGUGCCAGCAGCCGCGGUAAUACGUAGGGUGCGAGCGUUAAUCGGAAUUACUGGGCGUAAAGCGUGCGCAGGCGGUUGGUUAAGUCUGAUGUGAAAGCCCCGGGCUCAACCUGGGAAUGGCAUUGGAAACUGGCCAGCUGGAGUAUGGCAGAGGGGGGUGGAAUUCCACGUGUAGCAGUGAAAUGCGUAGAGAUGUGGAGGAACACCGAUGGCGAAGGCAACCCCCUGGGCCAAUACUGACGCUCAGGCACGAAAGCGUGGGGAGCAAA